AAAAUGAGAGUUUGAUCCUGGCUCAGGAUAAACGCUGGCGGCAUGCCUAAUACAUGCAAGUCGAACGGGGGUGCUUGCACCCCAGUGGCGAACGGGUGAGUAACACGUAUCUAACCUACCUCAUAGCGGGGGAUAACUUUUGGAAACGAAAGAUAAUACCGCAUGUGAAUCUUAUUAUCGCAUGAGAAAAGAUUGAAAGGACCGUUUGGUUCACUAUGAGAUGGGGAUGCGGCGUAUUAGCUAGUAGGUGAGGUAAUGGCUCACCUAGGCGAUGAUACGUAGCCGAACUGAGAGGUUGAUCGGCCACAUUGGGACUGAGAUACGGCCCAGACUCCUACGGGAGGCAGCAGUAGGGAAUUUUUCACAAUGGACGAAAGUCUGAUGAAGCAAUGCCGCGUGAGUGAUGACGGCCUUCGGGUUGUAAAGCUCUGUUGUAAGGGAAGAAAAAAUAGAGUAGGAAAUGCCUCUAUAUUGACGGUACCUUACCAGAAAGCCACGGCUAACUAUGUGCCAGCAGCCGCGGUAAUACAUAGGUGGCAAGCGUUAUCCGGAUUUAUUGGGCGUAUAGGGUGCGUAGGCGGUUUUGCAAGUUUGAGGUUAAAGCCCGGAGCUCAACUCCGGUUCGCCUUGAAAACUGCAUUACUAGAAUGCAAGAGAGGUAAGCGGAAUUCCAUGUGUAGCGGUGAAAUGCGUAGAUAUAUGGAAGAACACCUGUGGCGAAAGCGGCUUACUGGCUUGUUAUUGACGCUGAGGCACGAAAGCGUGGGGAGCAAAUAGGAUUAGAUACCCUAGUAGUCCACGCCGUAAACGAUGAGUACUAGGUGUUGGGAUUAUCUCAGCGCCGCAGCUAACGCAUUAAGUACUCCGCCUGAGUAGUAUGCUCGCAAGAGUGAAACUCAAAGGAAUUGACGGGGACCCGCACAAGUGGUGGAGCAUGUGGUUUAAUUCGAAGCAACACGAAGAACCUUACCAGGGCUUGACAUCCAGUGCAAAGCUAUAGAGAUAUAGUGGAGGUUAACAUUGAGACAGGUGGUGCAUGGUUGUCGUCAGUUCGUGCCGUGAGGUGUUGGGUUAAGUCCCGCAACGAACGCAACCCUUGUCGUUAGUUACUAACAUUUAGUUGAGGACUCUAACGAGACUGCUAGUGUAAGCUAGAGGAAGGUGGGGAUGACGUCAAAUCAUCAUGCCCCUUAUGUCCUGGGCUACACACGUGCUACAAUGGCUGGUACAAAGAGUCGCAAUCUCGCGAGGGGGAGCUAAUCUCAAAAAGCCAGUCUCAGUUCGGAUUGAAGUCUGCAACUCGACUUCAUGAAGCCGGAAUCACUAGUAAUCGCGAAUCAGCUAUGUCGCGGUGAAUACGUUCUCGGGUCUUGUACACACCGCCCGUCACACCACGAGAGUUGGUAAUACCAGAAGUGGGUAGCUUAACCGCAAGGAGAGCGCCUCCCAAGGUAGGACUGGCGAUUGGGGUGAAGUCGUAACAAGGUAUCCGUACGGGAACGUGCGGAUGGAUCACCUCCUUUCUAUGGAG
This 1531-nucleotide ribosomal RNA is filed under the name Mycoplasma yeatsii GM274B. RNAcentral's name for it is "bacterial SSU rRNA". It matches the Rfam family "Bacterial small subunit ribosomal RNA". Lineage: Bacteria; Bacillati; Mycoplasmatota; Mollicutes; Mycoplasmatales; Mycoplasmataceae. The record is from RNAcentral.